CAAUGUACCUCACAUCCUCACUCAAUUCGCUCACUCUCUCCACCCCUUUCCUCAAUGGCACAACCCCUCUCUCUCACUUCUCAGAACCCACUUCCUCUCUGUCCCUUCAACCUCCUAAGCCCUUCACUUUUCUCCCUCCAAUCAGAGCCAUGAGGUCAAUGCAAGGCAGAGUGGUUUGUGCAACCAAUGACAAGACGGUGUCUGUUGAGGUAACCCGGUUGGCCCCGCAUCCCAAGUACAAGAGACGGGUGAGGAAGAAGAAGAAGUUUCAGGCUCAUGACCCUGAGAACCAGUUCAAGGUUGGCGACCUUGUCCAGCUUGAAAAGAGCAGACCCAUUAGCAAGACCAAGGCUUUUAUUGCUGUGCCAGUACCGCCUAGGAAGAAGAAGGAAAAGAAAGGGAAUGAAGAGGGAGCGGCGCCUCAGGAGCUUGGAAUUCCACUGGAGUCUCAAGAAGAACAGAAAGCUUAACAUGAUUCCUAUGGUGAUGUAAUUGUGCUUUUUUUGUGAAUUUUUG
Molecule: unclassified non-coding RNA, 516 nt
Filed under: Hevea brasiliensis (rubber tree)
Lineage: Eukaryota; Viridiplantae; Streptophyta; Magnoliopsida; Malpighiales; Euphorbiaceae
Source: RNAcentral